RNAcentral lists this long non-coding RNA (1068 nucleotides) under Coturnix japonica (Japanese quail). Its description in RNAcentral is "lncRNA (ENSCJPG00005008298.1)". The record is from RNAcentral. Lineage: Eukaryota; Metazoa; Chordata; Aves; Galliformes; Phasianidae.
UUUAAACAGCGGUGCAACACCCCCACAUUUCCCCCCUAUUUCCUUUCUUAUUUCCAUUUAUUCCCCCAAUUAUUUUCCCCUAUUUCCCCUAACAUUGCCCAUUAUUUCCCCUUAUUUCCCCCAUUAUUUCCCCUAUUUCCCCAUUAUUUCCCCCAUUUCCCCAUUAUUUCCCAUUAUUUCCCCCAUUAUCCCCCAUUAUUUCCCCUAUUUCCAAUCAUUAUUCCCCCCUAUUCCCCUUAUUUCCCCCAUUAUUUUCCCCAUUUCCCCCAUUAUUUCCCCCAUUUCCCCAUUAUUUCCCCCCAUUUCCCCUAUUUCCCCAUUUACUUUCCCGCCAUUUCCCCUGUUUUCCCCCAAUUAAUCCCCCAUUUCCCUCCAUUAUUUCCCCAUUUCCCCCCUACUUCCCCCUUAUUUCCCCCUUAAUUUCCCCUAUUUACCCCCAUUUCCCCCCUAAUUUCCCCUAUUUCCCAGUAUUCCCCCAUUUCCCCCUAUUUCCCCCUUUAAUUUCCCCAUUUCCCCCCAUUUCCCUCCUUAAUUUCCCAUUUCCCAUUGUUUCCCCCAUUCCCCCCUAUUUCCCUUAAUUUCCCCUAUUUCCCCCAUUCUCUCUUAAUUUCCGGCCUAUUUCCCCCAUUAUUUCCCCCAUUCCCAUUAUUUGCCCCCUUAUUUCCCUAUUUCCGCCAUUAUUUCCCCUAUUCCCCCUUAUUUCCCCCUUUAAUUUCCCCUAUUUCCCCCCAUUUCCCUCUAAUUUCCCCUAUUUCCCCCAUUAUUCCCCGCCAUUUUCCCCCAUUACUUCCCCUAUUUCCCCCAUACUUCCCUAUUUCCCCCCUAAUUUCCCCUAUUUCCCCCAUUACUUUCCCUAUUUUCCCCCAUUUUACCCCAUUUCUCAGCCCUUCGGCCAUAUACCACGUCAAUGGAAGAGGCAGAAAUGGACUGGGAAGACCCCAAACCAACUGGGAUUGAACUGGGAAGACCCCAAAUAGACUGGGAUUGAACUGGGAAGACCCCAAACCAACUGGGAUUGAACUGGGAAGACCCCAAAUAGACCUUGGGAUUGAACUGGGAAGACCCAAA